UUGCUUUGAAGUUUGACAGUAAAAACAAAAUACAAAAUCCAACCAACUCGGUAGUUACCCAUUUAGUUUACAAUGAUACACACACCACCGUAGCAUAUAGCAGAAGUAGAUAACAGAAUCUAUCUUCGUUGGAUAAGAAAUUUUCCCACUUUCGCAAAAGCCUUGUGGCUUCUAACAAUGGCUUCUUCAGUUACUUCUUCUUUUCAAAUCAGUUGAUUAGGAGGAAAUAGGAAUAAUUGUGUAUGGAAUGGAGAGAAGGAAAUAGGACAACAACUUGGUAACAAGGCACUGCACUUGUGGGAAGAAUGGAGAACUGCUCAAAAUAUGAGAAACCAAGCUACACAAACUGUCAUGGUACAGCAGCAAAUACAGUGGCAUAAACCAAGCUUUUGUUGGUUUAAAUGUAACGUAGACGCGGGAUUUCACAAUGUGCACGGAAAGACAAGCAUGGGGUGGUGUAUUCGUGAUCAUGAUGGUCGUUUUGUAGUGGCAGGAACCUCUUGGAAGUACGGUAAUCGCUCUAUCAUUGAAGGAGAGGUAUGGCUUUACUUGAUGCUAUGAAGGAAGUGGAACGCAUAGGCCUAACAAAUGUCAUUUUUGAAACCGACUUCAAAAGUGUUGUUGAUGACAUCCAUCGACGAGUCAAUGGCAUCUUCGAUUUAGCUCUUUAAUUGUAAUGACAAGCGAACUCGGUUGCUCAUAAGCUUGCUAGAGCGGCUGUUUCAUGGCCUCGUCGCUAUAUCUUUGAUUUGCCACCUACUUGUAUUGAUACUUUAUUAGUUAAUGAAAUGAUGAGUUUCCUGUUGUAAGAAAAAAAAAAGUGUACAGCUAUAAAUUUUCUAAGUAACAACCAUACUCAU
Trifolium pratense (red clover) is the source of this 860-nucleotide long non-coding RNA. RefSeq lists it as uncharacterized. Lineage: Eukaryota; Viridiplantae; Streptophyta; Magnoliopsida; Fabales; Fabaceae. The record is from RefSeq and is a predicted model, not a curated record. The transcript has 2 exons.